Long non-coding RNA from Osmia bicornis bicornis, 419 nucleotides. RefSeq lists it as uncharacterized. The transcript has 3 exons. The record is from RefSeq and is a predicted model, not a curated record. NCBI's taxonomy places the organism in Eukaryota, Metazoa, Arthropoda, Insecta, Hymenoptera, Megachilidae.
UCUCGUCGUGUAACCAUCGUUAGAGAAAGAUCGCAAAACCUUAGCAGAAAUUAAUCGAAUUGAUUACAUUACACAGCCCUGGAUUUGCUAAAAGACCACAAGGGAGAUACUGAAGAUCUACCGAAAGGAAAGGAACCAAGAGAAGGAGAAACAGCAGAGACACAAAAAGAAAAAACUGUCCUAGAGAAUUUAGAAAUUCUUGCCCCAUAUCAGGAAGCAACAAACAGCAAUGUCCGCCUUCACUAUCCUGCAGGCAAAUUUAAACCAUUGCCGCGCAGCGCAAGACGUCCUAUGGCAGGCCGUACACGACUACCGUGCCGACAUCGUAGUGAUCAGUGAGCCAUAUCGCCCCCUGCCAGAAUGGCACACCGACCCAAGCGGAACCCUAAGCAUUUGGUAUGUGCAGCGAACACCGUCGU